GGGGGCGAACUGGAUUCGACGGAGACAAUGAGACUAAGGUCGCAUGUCGAGGCUCCACCCACCUCGUUAAAAAGGUGGAAACAAAGUAAGUGCAGAACCACUUCAAGUUGCUGCCUAAAUUGUAGGCAUGCCGUUUCUCUUGCACCUUCCUGCAGUGCUUGAGAAGCGUCGACGCGCAGGAUAGCGAAUCAGGCCCGUCCUGAGCCCGGUAAGCGAACUCCAUCAGGGCUGGUUUCACGGUGUCUUUCCUUUUCAGAAGCUGUGGAAUGAGAAAAAGGAAAAGGAUAAGCAUGUAGAAAGCUUUCGUUGAAUGUCUUCGGACGCGGGUUCGAUUCCCGCCGCCUCCAUUA
Molecule: transfer-messenger RNA, 350 nt
Filed under: Candidatus Aminicenantota bacterium
Lineage: Bacteria; Candidatus Aminicenantota
Also listed under: 1 other name
Description: Candidatus Aminicenantes bacterium transfer-messenger RNA
Rfam family: transfer-messenger RNA
About the family: Bacterial tmRNA, also known as 10Sa RNA or SsrA, is named for its dual tRNA and mRNA-like properties. Its role is to liberate the mRNA from a stalled ribosome.
Source: RNAcentral